This 116-nucleotide ribosomal RNA is filed under the name Pteropus alecto (black flying fox). Lineage: Eukaryota; Metazoa; Chordata; Mammalia; Chiroptera; Pteropodidae. The record is from RNAcentral.
GUCUACGGCCACGCCACCCUGAACGAGCUCUAUGUCUGAUCUCGGAAGCUAAGCAAGGUCAGGCCUGGUUAGUACUUAGAUGGGAAACCACCUAGGAAGACCAGGUGCUGUAGGCA